This 66-nucleotide transfer RNA is filed under the name Biston perclara. RNAcentral's name for it is "tRNA-Arg". The record is from RNAcentral. Lineage: Eukaryota; Metazoa; Arthropoda; Insecta; Lepidoptera; Geometridae.
AAAUAAGAAGCAAUUAUUUGCAUUUAAUUUCGACUUAAAAGAAAGAGUUUAACAACUCCUUAUUUA